Molecule: ribosomal RNA, 465 nt
Filed under: Vreelandella stevensii
Lineage: Bacteria; Pseudomonadati; Pseudomonadota; Gammaproteobacteria; Oceanospirillales; Halomonadaceae
Description: partial 16S ribosomal RNA
Rfam family: Bacterial small subunit ribosomal RNA
Source: RNAcentral
CCUACGGGUGGCAGCAGUGGGGAAUAUUGGACAAUGGGCGAAAGCCUGAUCCAGCCAUGCCGCGUGUGUGAAGAAGGCCUUCGGGUUGUAAAGCACUUUCAGUGGGGAAGAAAGCCUUGGGGCUAAUACCCUCGAGGAAGGACAUCACCCACAGAAGAAGCACCGGCUAACUCCGUGCCAGCAGCCGCGGUAAUACGGAGGGUGCGAGCGUUAAUCGGAAUUACUGGGCGUAAAGCGCGCGUAGGCGGUCUGAUAAGCCGGUUGUGAAAGCCCCGGGCUCAACCUGGGAACGGCAUCCGGAACUGUCAGGCUAGAGUGCAGGAGAGGAAGGUAGAAUUCCCGGUGUAGCGGUGAAAUGCGUAGAGAUCGGGAGGAAUACCGGUGGCGAAGGCGGCCUUCUGGACUGACACUGACGCUGAGGUGCGAAAGCGUGGGUAGCAAACAGGAUUAGAUACCCGAGUAGUC